Molecule: transfer RNA, 66 nt
Filed under: Tarbinskiellus portentosus
Lineage: Eukaryota; Metazoa; Arthropoda; Insecta; Orthoptera; Gryllidae
Description: tRNA-Glu
Rfam family: tRNA
About the family: Transfer RNA (tRNA) molecules are approximately 80 nucleotides in length. Their secondary structure includes four short double-helical elements and three loops (D, anti-codon, and T loops).
Source: RNAcentral
GUUUAUAUAGUUUAAUAAAACGGUACGUUUUCAUUGUACAGAUAAUAUUUUAGUAUUUAUAAAUAA